GUCCCCAUCGUCUAGUGGCCUAGGACGGCGGCCUCUCACGCCGCUAACAGGGGUUCAAAUCCCCUUGGGGACGCCA
This 76-nucleotide transfer RNA is filed under the name Solidesulfovibrio fructosivorans. It matches the Rfam family "tRNA". Rfam says of the family: Transfer RNA (tRNA) molecules are approximately 80 nucleotides in length. Their secondary structure includes four short double-helical elements and three loops (D, anti-codon, and T loops). Further hydrogen bonds mediate the characteristic L-shaped molecular structure. tRNAs have two regions of fundamental functional importance: the anti-codon, which is responsible for specific mRNA codon recognition, and the 3' end, to which the tRNAs corresponding amino acid is attached (by aminoacyl-tRNA synthetases). tRNAs cope with the degeneracy of the genetic code in two manners: having more than one tRNA (with a specific anti-codon) for a particular amino acid; and 'wobble' base-pairing, i.e. permitting non-standard base-pairing at the 3rd anti-codon position. RNAcentral also lists the same sequence under 18 other names. The record is from RNAcentral. Lineage: Bacteria; Pseudomonadati; Thermodesulfobacteriota; Desulfovibrionia; Desulfovibrionales; Desulfovibrionaceae.